AGAUAGGCCAAGAAGCUUUUACUCUUCUUGAUGAAUUCCAUGGAAAAAAUACAAGGCCUAGUAUUAAAACAACCAAUAAAAAUUACCUUUAUUAUAACCAAUAUCAACCCCAGAAGUCUCACCUUGUUCAAUUCAAACCAAUUGAAGAGAGAGUCAUGAAUAGUUAUGAAGCUGUUAAGUUAUAUGGAGGGGUUCUUGUUUGUGAUUAUUCCAAGAGAAAACCAAAAGUUAUGACUUAUUACUAAGU
Molecule: long non-coding RNA, 247 nt
Filed under: Solanum pimpinellifolium
Lineage: Eukaryota; Viridiplantae; Streptophyta; Magnoliopsida; Solanales; Solanaceae
Description: long non-coding RNA (SPIM_LNC000112)
Source: RNAcentral